This is a non-coding RNA of Macaca mulatta (Rhesus monkey), 568 nucleotides long. Lineage: Eukaryota; Metazoa; Chordata; Mammalia; Primates; Cercopithecidae. The record is from RefSeq and is a predicted model, not a curated record.
AUGUGGGGCAGGCGUCCAGGUGUGUUUGUGUCACUUGCUGCAACACUGUGGCCUAUGAAGAUUCCAACAGGAUGGUCUGACCAGAGGGGCUGGCACUCUGGAGUCGUGGCUGCAGCCAGGUACCCUGUGCAGGGCCUGGGAGGCUCUCCAGGCCACAGCCCUCAGAGAGCGCUGGGUCCCGUGUUGUGUGUGGGUUCCAUGUCCUCCACACAGCAGGAGAGGGGCCUCCCUGACCUCAACACCUGCCCCAUCAGUCUUGCUUCUCCCCAGCAAGCCUGCACUCUGGGGUCUCCAUAGGAGCUGGGGAAGCUGGGGCCUUCCCAGGGACCCUAGUCGCCACUGGGGGCUCUUGGCCUGGUUUCGUAAGAUGGAGCACUGCACAAGGCUAUGCUCAGAAAGCUGGUAAACGCAGGGCAGGGUGGGCCUCGAGCCUGGGCUGGAGGGAUCUCUACCCUUGCUGGCCUGAGAGAUGGCCCAUAUUUCUUAUUUGUGACCCCCUGCUCUUCCUGGCCACCCCCCCAGGUGGCUGAACAGGGUGCUUUUGUUGUGGCGAGGGGCCAGGAUGUGA